CAAGUCGAACGAUGAAGUCCUAGCUUGCUAGGAUGGAUUAGUGGCGCACGGCCGUUUAAGAUAUAGUUAAUCUGCCCUACACAGAGGAACAACAGUUGGAAACGACUGCUAAUACCUCAUACUCCUAUUUGACAUAAGUUAAAUAGGGAAAGUCUUUUCGGUGUAGGAUGAGACUAUAUCGUAUCAGCUAGUUGGUAAGGUAAUGGCUUACCAAGGCUAUGACGCGUAACUGGUCUGAGAGGAUGAUCAGUCACAUUGGAACUGAGACACGGUCCAAACUCCUACGGGAGGCAGCAGUAAGGAAUAUUGCGCAAUGGGGGAAACCCUGACGCAGCAACGCCGCGUGGAGGAUGACACUUUUCGGAGCGUAAACUCCUUUUAUCAGGAAAGAAUAAUGACGGUACCUGAUGAAUAAGCACCGGCUAACUCCGUGCCAGCAGCCGCGGUAAUACGGGGGGUGCAAGCGUUACUCGGAAUCACUGGGCGUAAAGGACGCGUAGGCGGAUUAUCAAGUCUUUUGUGAAAUCUAGUGGCUUAACCACUAAACUGCUUAGGAAACUGAUAGUCUAGAGUAGGGGAGAGGUAGAUGGAAUUCUUGGUGUAGGGGUAAAAUC
This 614-nucleotide ribosomal RNA is filed under the name uncultured bacterium. RNAcentral describes it as "bacterial SSU rRNA". It matches the Rfam family "Bacterial small subunit ribosomal RNA", at positions 58 to 688 of the family's 1533-position model. The record is from RNAcentral.